Molecule: long non-coding RNA, 300 nt
Organism: Diorhabda sublineata
Lineage: Eukaryota; Metazoa; Arthropoda; Insecta; Coleoptera; Chrysomelidae
Exons: 3
Source: RefSeq, a predicted model, not a curated record
CUGAAAGCGAUGAAAUUGCCACUCCUAUUACCACAUUAUCCAAUGCUGAUGAAACCGAAGGUGAUGCUACAACUUCCGAUGUAGAAAAUCCAAUCGAUACAAAAAUAGUACCAGAAGAAGGUCAAGAAACUGUUGAAACGUCCGCUUCUCCUACAGUUACCGAGCCACCUUUAACAGAAACUGAAGCGUCGACAUUACAGACGCCAGAAAUAACAGAUGCAGAGACCACUGAUGUAGAUGACAUCCCUACUGAUACUGAGGAUGUCAAAAAGAAGAAAAAGAAAAAGAAAGAAAAAGGAA